Molecule: ribosomal RNA, 472 nt
Filed under: uncultured bacterium
Lineage: Bacteria
Description: bacterial SSU rRNA
Rfam family: Bacterial small subunit ribosomal RNA
Source: RNAcentral
GGUUAACGCUGGCGGCGUGCCUAACACAUGCAAGUCGAACGGUUCUAAGCGCGAGCUUAGGAUAGUGGCGAACGGGUGAGUAAAAGGUAGGAAUCUACCCCUUGGACGGAGAUAGCUACUGGAAACGGUAGGUAAACUUCGAUAAGCCCGAGAGGGGAAAGUGGUGAGACAGCCGAGGGAUGAGCCUACUCUCCAUCAGGUAGUUGGUGAGAUAAAAGCUUACCAAGCCGAUGACGGAUAACCGGUGUGAGAGCAUGAACGGUCACAAGGGCACUGAGAGACGGGCCCUACUCCUACGGGAGGCAGCAGUGGGGAAUCUUGGACAAUGGGCGAAAGCCUGAUCCAGCGACGCCGCGUGGAGGAAGAAGCCCUUCGGGGUGUAAACUGCUUUUGUACGGAACGAAACGGUGAGCUCUAAUAAAAGACUUGCUAAUGACGGUACCGUAAGAAUAAAGCACCGGCUAACUACGUG